This 82-nucleotide transfer RNA is filed under the name Jaminaea angkorensis. Its description in RNAcentral is "tRNA-Asn". It matches the Rfam family "tRNA". Rfam says of the family: Transfer RNA (tRNA) molecules are approximately 80 nucleotides in length. Their secondary structure includes four short double-helical elements and three loops (D, anti-codon, and T loops). Lineage: Eukaryota; Fungi; Basidiomycota; Exobasidiomycetes; Microstromatales. The record is from RNAcentral.
GGUAUCAUAGCAUAGUGGUCAUGCAGCAUACUGUUAAUAUGUGGCUUUAUUGCCUACGAAAGUUCGAUUCUUUCUGAUACCU